This 506-nucleotide ribosomal RNA is filed under the name uncultured bacterium. RNAcentral's name for it is "bacterial SSU rRNA". It matches the Rfam family "Bacterial small subunit ribosomal RNA", at positions 19 to 518 of the family's 1533-position model. The record is from RNAcentral.
AUGGCUCGGGAUGAACGCUAGCGACAGGCCUAACACAUGCAAGUCGAGGGGCAGCGGGAUUGAAGCUUGCUUAAUGCCGGCGACCGGCGCACGGGUGCGUAACAGGUGUGCAAUCUGUCCAUAGUCGGGGAAUAGCCCAGCGAAAGUUGGAUUAAUGCUCCAUGUGAAUCGAGACCGCAUGAUCUUGAUUUGAAACGUAAGGACUAUGGGUGAGCACGCUUCUGAUUAGAUAGUUGGUGAGGUAACGGCUCACCAAGUCGACGAUCAGUAGGGGUUCUGAGAGGAAGGUCCCCCACAUUGGAACUGAGACACGGUCCAAACUCCUACGGGAGGCAGCAGUGAGGAAUAUUGGUCAAUGGGCGAGAGCCUGAACCAGCCAAGUCGCGUGAAAGGAUGAAGGUUCUAUGGAUUGUAAACUUCUUUUGUCCGAGGGUAAAAAAGGCCACGUGUGGCUUCUUGCAAGUAUCGGACGAAUAAGCAUCGGCUAACUCCGUGCCAGCAGCUGC